RNAcentral lists this unclassified non-coding RNA (629 nucleotides) under Rhizopus arrhizus. Its description in RNAcentral is "sequence contains 18S rRNA gene, ITS1, 5.8S rRNA gene, ITS2, 28S rRNA gene". The stretch from base 239 to 392 matches the Rfam family "5.8S ribosomal RNA". Lineage: Eukaryota; Fungi; Mucoromycota; Mucoromycetes; Mucorales; Rhizopodaceae. The record is from RNAcentral.
UCGUAACAAGGUUUCCGUAGGUGAACCUGCGGAAGGAUCAUUAAUUAUGUUAAAGCGCCUUACCUCUUAGGGUUUCCUCUGGGGUAAGUGAUUGCUUCUACACUGUGAAAAUUUGGCUGAGAGACUCAGACUGGUCAUGGGUAGACCUAUCUGGGGUUUGAUCGAUGCCACUCCUGGUUUCAGGAGCACCCUUCAUAAUAAACCUAGAAAUUCAGUAUUAUAAAGUUUAAUAAAAAACAACUUUUAACAAUGGAUCUCUUGGUUCUCGCAUCGAUGAAGAACGUAGCAAAGUGCGAUAACUAGUGUGAAUUGCAUAUUCAGUGAAUCAUCGAGUCUUUGAACGCAGCUUGCACUCUAUGGUUUUUCUAUAGAGUACGCCUGCUUCAGUAUCAUCACAAACCCACACAUAACAUUUGUUUAUGUGGUAAUGGGUCGCAUCGCUGUUUUAUUACAGUGAGCACCUAAAAUGUGUGUGAUUUUCUGUCUGGCUUGCUAGGCAGGAAUAUUACGCUGGUCUCAGGAUCUUUUUCUUUGGUUCGCCCAGGAAGUAAAGUACAAGAGUAUAAUCCAGCAACUUUCAAACUAUGAUCUGAAGUCAGGUGGGAUUACCCGCUGAACUUAAGCAUAUC